Molecule: non-coding RNA, 648 nt
Organism: Cyprinodon tularosa
Lineage: Eukaryota; Metazoa; Chordata; Actinopteri; Cyprinodontiformes; Cyprinodontidae
Source: the annotation of a RefSeq genome assembly
GGAAGAGGAGCUGAGAGCUUCAGGGAGGAGCUGAGCUGUUACUGAACUAUAGAAGAGACACAAACUUCCACAUUCAACACAGUUCAAACAUUAACUCUGAUCAUCAUGCUGUCUUUGCUCACAUCUGGAUUUACUCUGCUGGUUCUGCUUAUAGGAACAGGUGUAAACUGUCAACAACUCACUGCAGCAAAGACUGAAGAGUUCAAUAUAGAAGGCAGCUCUGUUACUCUGUCCUACAGUUACUCCAAUAAGAUAACUGCUACUGAUCAUUUCUUCUGGUAUCGACAGUAUCCUGGAAAUCCUCCAGAGUUCAUCAUGUACAUCUCAGGUUACAACAGUUCAAGAUCAGCAGAUAAUCUGAAAUCAGCAUCAAGAUUCUCCACUAAACUGAGAGAAGAGAAACACCUGGACCUGCUGAUCUCCUCUGCUGCAGUGACAGACUCUGCUGUGUACUACUGUGCUGUGAGGCCCACAGUGACAGGAAACACCAGAACUCUGUACAAGAACCUGCAAUACUCCACUACAUCCACUAGAGGGCCUCACACACUGUUCCUCCUCUAUGGUUUGUUAGGAUUCAGUCUGAUUGUUUGUGCAGCUGAGAAUAAAGCAGACAUCAGAGUGUUUGCUGCAUCAUUGAACUCUUCAUGA